UUAAUACUUCCUCCGUCUUAAAAUUAAUGUCUUAGAUUUGUUUAGAAAUAAAUAUAUCUAAAUAUUAAAAUAUGACUAGAUACAUUCAUAUCUAAACAAAUGUAAGACAAAUUUUUUGAGACGGAUGGAGUACUAG
This is a non-coding RNA of Hordeum vulgare subsp. vulgare (domesticated barley), 136 nucleotides long. The record is from Rfam. NCBI's taxonomy places the organism in Eukaryota, Viridiplantae, Streptophyta, Magnoliopsida, Poales, Poaceae.